Molecule: transfer RNA, 64 nt
Filed under: Plaxiphora albida
Lineage: Eukaryota; Metazoa; Mollusca; Polyplacophora; Chitonida; Mopaliidae
Description: tRNA-Ala
Source: RNAcentral
GGAAUAAUACUUUAAAAAAAAGUUUUAAUUUGCAGUUAAAAAAUAGGGUGAAUCCUUUAUUCCA